GCGGCCGUGGCGUAAUGGUAGCGUAGAAGACUGUGGCUCUUCAGGCCCGGGUUCAAUUCCCGGCGGCCGCC
This 71-nucleotide transfer RNA is filed under the name Candidatus Woesearchaeota archaeon CG10_big_fil_rev_8_21_14_0_10_37_12. Its description in RNAcentral is "tRNA-His". It matches the Rfam family "tRNA". Rfam says of the family: Transfer RNA (tRNA) molecules are approximately 80 nucleotides in length. Lineage: Archaea; Nanobdellati; Candidatus Woesearchaeota. The record is from RNAcentral.